This 72-nucleotide transfer RNA is filed under the name Fulvia fulva CBS 131901. RNAcentral's name for it is "tRNA-Met (CAT) (tRNA-Met-CAT-7-1)". Lineage: Eukaryota; Fungi; Ascomycota; Dothideomycetes; Mycosphaerellales; Mycosphaerellaceae. The record is from RNAcentral.
GGCCCCAUGGUGCAGUGGUCAGUACAUCCACCGCAUAAUUGGAAGACUUGCGUUCGAUUCGCAGUGGGAUCG